Long non-coding RNA from Anastrepha ludens (Mexican fruit fly), 1023 nucleotides. RefSeq lists it as uncharacterized. The transcript has 3 exons. The record is from RefSeq and is a predicted model, not a curated record. Lineage: Eukaryota; Metazoa; Arthropoda; Insecta; Diptera; Tephritidae.
AGCACCAAAAGCAAAAGCAAACAUUCAUAUGUAGUUACUUUUUUCUGUAGAAUUGUUACCAAAAUCACUACGGCUUGUAUGAACUCGGCUUUGGCUUAGCAUUUGUAAACAUAAACUGUUGUAUGAGGAAAAAUGCAAUUAUUGGGGUAUUAAUCUGGAACUCGAUUCAAACUUUGAAUGGCUACGAAUGAAUACGACGCGAGAAGCGUUCUUUUUUCACAAUCAGCCACCUUACAUACAAAUCAACAAAUCUUUGGAAGACCCCACAGAUACGCUCUACCAACAUCUGAGCGACGUACAUUCGAUUUUUAUGAAAAAUGAAUACCUUCAACAAGGUUUUAAGCACCAAGUGUUGGUUCCACACACUAAAGAGGAGUUCUUGAAUUUGAAUAAAACGGAUCAUCUCGUAAGCCGACGUUGUCCGUUCCCUGGAGCGAUAAGGACAUCAGAAAAUGUUGCGUGGGAAGAACUUGUAACUGAUUAGUGCUCAGAAAAAAAUAUAGCGGUCGCUCGGCAGGCAAUGGCAAACCUCCGAAUGUAUUUCUGCUAUGAAAAAGCUCCUCAUGAAAAUAUCUGCCGUUCGGAGUCGGCUUGAAACUGUAGGUCCCUCCAUUUGUGGAACAACAUCAAGACGCACACCACAAAUAGGAGGAGGAGCUCGGCCAAACACCCAAAAAGGGUGUACGCGCCAAUUAUAUAUAUAUUCCAUUUACAUCCACAAAUCAAAAAAACAAAAAAAAAAAAAAACGGCCCUGGAGCAGUAUAUGGAUGAGAAAAAGAGGUCCGGUGGUCAAUUGUUUAAAAUGCUGGAAGAAAACAUGAAAAAAUGAGAAAGAUGAACGGAAAUCACAGAUAGAAAGCGAGAAAGUCGAUAUUUUGAAAUUGUUGCUCGGUUUCCUCAAAAAGUAAAUAUAUGUAUGUAUGUACAAAUGUAUUUGAAGUGAUAUGAAAAUGCGGGACUGAGAAUUAAUUAAUUUUAAUUUCCUUUUUUAAUUCAUAUUGUAUGUAUGUUACCCACGAUAA